CGGCGAACGGGGUAGGAUCACCUCGGUGACGUACCCCCGGGUCGGGGAUAGCGGCGGGAAACUGCCGGUAAUACCCGAUAAUCUUCCAGGUUUUAAAGGGGAAGCAAAGGUGUGAUUCCGUCCGGGGAGCGGCCGAGGCGUAUUAGCUAGUUGGUAAGGUAACGGCUUACCAAGGCGAUGAUGCGUAGGGGGUGUGAGAGCAUGGCCCCCACCACUGGCACUGAGACACUGGCCGGACACCUACGGGUGGCUGCAGUCGAGAAUCUUCGGCAAUGGGCGCAAGCCUGACCGAGCGACGCCGCGUGCGGGAUGAAGGCCUUCGGGUUGUAAACCGCUGUCGGAGGGGAUGAAAUGCAUGGGGGUACUCCCCUGUGUUUGACAGAGCCUCGGAGGAAGCACGGGCUAAGUUCGUGCCAGCAGCCGCGGUAAUACGAACUGUGCGAACGUUAUUCGGAAUCACUGGGCUUAAAGGGUGCGUAGGCGGUGACUCAAGUCAGGUGUGAAAUCCCCCGGCUCAACCGGGGAACUGCGCUUGAAACUAGGUUGCUCGAGUGAGGUAGGGGUGUAUGGAACUUCCGGUGGAGCGGUGAAAUGUGUAGAUAUCGGAAGGAACGCCGGCGGCGAAAGCGGUACACUGGGCCUUGUCUGACGCUGAGGCACGAAAGCUAGGGGAGUGAACGGGAUUAGAUACCCCGGUAAUCCUAGCCGUAAACACUGAGCACUGGAGGAGAGGGGUUUCGGCCUUUCUCCUCGCAGCGAAAGCGUUAAGUGCUCCGCCUGGGAGUAUGGUCGCAAGGCUGAAACUCAAAGGAAUUGACGGGGGCUCACACA
Molecule: ribosomal RNA, 831 nt
Filed under: uncultured Planctomycetota bacterium
Lineage: Bacteria; Pseudomonadati; Planctomycetota
Description: bacterial SSU rRNA
Rfam family: Bacterial small subunit ribosomal RNA
Source: RNAcentral